RNAcentral lists this ribosomal RNA (748 nucleotides) under uncultured bacterium. Its description in RNAcentral is "bacterial SSU rRNA". It matches the Rfam family "Bacterial small subunit ribosomal RNA", at positions 105 to 848 of the family's 1533-position model. The record is from RNAcentral.
GGUGAGUAAUGCUUAGGAAUCUGCCUAUUAGUGGGGGACAACAUCUCGAAAGGGAUGCUAAUACCGCAUACGUCCUACGGGAGAAAGCAGGGGAUCUUCGGACCUUGCGCUAAUAGAUGAGCCUAAGUCGGAUUAGCUAGUUGGUGGGGUAAAGGCCUACCAAGGCGACGAUCUGUAGCGGGUCUGAGAGGAUGAUCCGCCACACUGGGACUGAGACACGGCCCAGACUCCUACGGGAGGCAGCAGUGGGGAAUAUUGGACAAUGGGGGGAACCCUGAUCCAGCCAUGCCGCGUGUGUGAAGAAGGCCUUUUGGUUGUAAAGCACUUUAAGCGAGGAGGAGGCUACCGAGAUUAAUACUCUUGGAUAGUGGACGUUACUCGCAGAAUAAGCACCGGCUAACUCUGUGCCAGCAGCCGCGGUAAUACAGAGGGUGCAAGCGUUAAUCGGAUUUACUGGGCGUAAAGCGCGCGUAGGUGGCCAAUUAAGUCAAAUGUGAAAUCCCCGAGCUUAACUUGGGAAUUGCAUUCGAUACUGGUUGGCUAGAGUAUGGGAGAGGAUGGUAGAAUUCCAGGUGUAGCGGUGAAAUGCGUAGAGAUCUGGAGGAAUACCGAUGGCGAAGGCAGCCAUCUGGCCUAAUACUGACACUGAGGUGCGAAAGCAUGGGGAGCAAACAGGAUUAGAUACCCUGGUAGUCCAUGCCGUAAACGAUGUCUACUAGCCGUUGGGGCCUUUGAGGCUUUAGUGGCG